ACGCCCCUCCCACAGCCCCAAACCCGUUCUCUCUCCCUCGCUCUCCUCCCCGACGACCUCUCUCUCCAUCUCUCCUCCCCGCCGCCGCCCUCUCUCUCCCAACUCUCUGGCUCUCUGCCGCCACCUCCCCUCCCCUUCUCCCUCUCCGCCUGCCUCCGCCGCUCCGCCCGCUCCCGCUGGAUCCAGAUCCGGCGCGGGGGGCAGCAGCGCCCCGUUCCUCCGCCCGGCUCUGCCACGGAGCUCCACCAUGCCGCCCCUCCUCCGCCCGACCUCACCCUGGCGCUCCUCAGCUAGACCCCAGGCGUCGCCGCCUAGGAUCUCCGGCACCGCCUCGAGCUUGGACGCCGCUGCAGCGCGGUCCGGCCAACGCCGGUGCUUGGGCGGGCACAGCAGCCCUCCCUGCUGCCCCUCUCUCCUCCCCCUGCUGCCCCUGGUGCGCGAGAGAGCUCCCCCCCCCCCCCCCCCUUCUCCUCUCCCUUGAUUCCUCUCUCCCUGCUGCCCAUGGCGGGCGACCCGCGCACGGGACGACGGGAGCAGUGGGGCACCGGUGAUGGGAGCAGCGGGGCGGAAACGACCUGUGCGCGGCGGUCGGAGAUGCAUCCCCGGUCUCCACACUGCUCCUCCAGCACCGUCGCGCCAGGGGAUGACCGUUUGCAGCGGCGGGGAGGAGCGAGGCGGCGACCCAUGCGUGGCUUGCGGGAGCCGCGGUGGCCGGCGCGGAGGAGCCUCCAGCAGGACCUCGAGCUCAAGCACAGCGACAAGCGCCGGAUAUGCUCAUGAAUGGCAGGCGCCGAGGGCUUGCAGACUGCUCCUCUCCACUUCCUCCCAUGUUGUAAUCGGUCUCCUGCAAGGCGCUACUCCCCUCAACCCUGUCGCCGACUGGCCGUCAUACUCUGCGCCGCCCGCCCAACCCGACGCCGUCGUCUUCAGAUAGCCAGCCCCAACUACGGCGUGCGGCGGGCUUCGGAGAAGGCGAAGCAGCGCCUACGUCUGUGCGUGGAGGCCGCCACACCGACGCCCUUUCCGUUCCUGUCCCUGCGCUGAUGCGACCUUGCACAGGAGGCUUUCAUCCCUGGCAGCGCUGGUCUCCCAUACGCUAAGCUCGACUGAAGGUCACCUUGCUAUGCUGACGAUCUCUGUCAUUCCUGGACUCUCAUAUAUGGAAUCAGAUCUCGAUGCCAUCCCUACUGCUAUCUUCUCUGACCACCUCUCUCACUCUCCCGUGUGUGGAUAUAGAAAUCAUAGGAUCAUCUUCCUCAAAUUGAAAUCCUCCUCAUGAUGUUCUCAUCUUUUUUUUUCUUUCCAAAUUUCAUCAGGUUUUGUUCUUCUUAGAUAGGCCCAACUAAAUUAAUCUUCUUGCUAAUCACAUAUUCAUUUGUUACAGCAAGAUCAACAAUUUACAGUCUUUCAGAUUUUGGCUACCAUUGUUUUGUGUUAAUGAUUGAGCUUUAUGAAUUACACUUUGAGCAUUUAUUUGACGUAUCAAAGAUGAUUCAGUCUGACAAAUGACAUUGGUACUUCAUUUAAGUGCUUUAACUACUGCUACUUGGUUUCUCAACAGAGGCGGAUUCAGUGCAGGCAACAGGCCUCAUGCAGUCCUGCCUGUUAUACUGUGUUAUAACUACAAGAUGCUAACCUUGGCACCCUUUGUAGGUUAAUUUAAGGUUCGUCAUAUUGCCCAGCAUUUGAGAAUUUGUCAAUAUCGAUUGCUCAAGCCAUGGUCAAAAAAAUCUGAACUUUAUCCAGAUGCCAUUUUGCUUAGACAAAUGCUUUCUGCUUCUUUUUCUGGCAACCUGGAGGCUCCUACAUUUUGAUGGACUAUUCAUGCCUGCUUUAACACUCAGUCAGGUUUGUGUUACAAUUUUGUGUUCCUUCAUGCUAUGGCUACUUGAAAGUACUUCUUUCUUCUUCCGUUCAAUUUCAAUCAUUCCAAAUCCUGCAAGAUCAUGACAAGGAAGUAACACUGGGCAACUGGAUGGUUGAUUUGUGUUUUUAGUUUUGCUUCAAAUUUCAUAUACAUGUUGUCUUUAGUCAGCCUUACCGGAUCAACCUUUCUUUAUUAGCAGGUUUUAACAAGCAAAACUGAAGAUAUACGUGGUCGUUGGAUACAAAAAUAUAAGUGUAUUGUUUGAUUAAUAUUAUAAGAAUACUGCUACUCUUUUUUAAAAUUAAGAACCCGUGAUCAGGGGUGUUCGUGAAAAAAAAUUAUGAACCAUUGAAACAAAUUCAUUGGUUUAAGACUUUAAGUAAGCUUUCAAAUACAUCAUUAAUUUGCUCUUCAAUGCAUGAGACAGAUGAACCACUAAACAAAUUCGUUGGUUUAAAUAACAUAUCAAAUGCAUCACCAACUUGCUCUUUGAUUAAUACAUGACAAAUAUUAAAGCAGAGUAAAAUAUCACAACGGAAGGUCAAGGCUCUCCGUGAAGAUUUGCUUUGAUGAUGGACGAUGAAGCCACCUCUUGCUGCUAUUCAAGAACAAAUCUAAGAAACUGUUAUAAUUAGUACUUCUAUCAUGAAAGUUUGUAGCAUGUUGGAUCGUCUUGGCUCAGGAUUUCAUGUUGCCUAGGUCAUUCGGGUCUGGAACUGUAGUUAUUUGCAUAUUGACAUAUCUUGGUUAAUUUAGUGUUUUCAAGUCAUGUGAUUACAGAAAUUUUGUACUCUGGUAUAGAUUAGUACCUUCAUUGGCUAAUAUGCUAUGUUUUUGCCAGUGAAUAUAUUUAAUUUUUUAUUGC
Panicum hallii is the source of this 2732-nucleotide long non-coding RNA. RefSeq lists it as uncharacterized. The record is from RefSeq and is a predicted model, not a curated record. The transcript is spliced from 2 exons. Lineage: Eukaryota; Viridiplantae; Streptophyta; Magnoliopsida; Poales; Poaceae.